This 483-nucleotide ribosomal RNA is filed under the name uncultured bacterium. RNAcentral's name for it is "partial 16S ribosomal RNA". It matches the Rfam family "Bacterial small subunit ribosomal RNA", at positions 30 to 507 of the family's 1533-position model. The record is from RNAcentral.
AUUGAACGCUGGCGGCAGGCUAACACAUGCAAGUCGAGCGGAUGAAGGGAGCUUGCUCCUGGAUUCAGCGGCGGACGGGUGAGUAAUGCCUAGGAAUCUGCCUGGUAGUGGGGGAUAACGUCCGGAAACGGGCGCUAAUACCGCAUACGUCCUGAGGGAGAAAGUGGGGGAUCUUCGGACCUCACGCUAUCAGAUGAGCCUAGGUCGGAUUAGCUAGUUGGUGGGGUAAAGGCCUACCAAGGCGACGAUCCGUAACUGGUCUGAGAGGAUGAUCAGUCACACUGGAACUGAGACACGGUCCAGACUCCUACGGGAGGCAGCAGUGGGGAAUAUUGGACAAUGGGCGAAAGCCUGAUCCAGCCAUGCCGCGUGUGUGAAGAAGGUCUUCGGAUUGUAAAGCACUUUAAGUUGGGAGGAAGGGCAGUAAGUUAAUACCUUGCUGUUUUGACGUUACCAACAGAAUAAGCACCGGCUAACUUCGUG